Brienomyrus brachyistius is the source of this 199-nucleotide long non-coding RNA. RefSeq lists it as uncharacterized. The record is from RefSeq and is a predicted model, not a curated record. The transcript has 3 exons. Lineage: Eukaryota; Metazoa; Chordata; Actinopteri; Osteoglossiformes; Mormyridae.
AUCACCCUGGAGACUCAGGAUUGAAGCUGCUCUCUGCUGUACUGGAGGAUCCCAGCUGUAAACUGGAGAAGCUACAUGUGGAUCACGGUGGAGAGUGCAGGACCAGACCAGGCUUACAGAAAUACUCCUGCCAGCUGACGCUGGACCCCAACACAGCAAACAGAUUCCUGUCUCUGUCAGGGGGGAACAGGAAGGUGAC